GCAAGUCGAGCGGAGUUAUUUAGAAGCUUGCUUUUGAAUAACUUAGCGGCGGACGGGUGAGUAACGUGUGGGUAACCUGCCUUAUACUGUGGAAUAAUCACUGGAAACGGUGACUAAUACCGCAUGUCAUCUUUUUACUGCAUGGUAGAAAGAGAAAAGGAUUUAUUCGGUAUAAGAUGGACCCGCAUCUGAUUAGCUAGUUGGUGAGAUAACAGCUCACUAAGGCAACGAUCAGUAGCCGACCUGAGAGGAUAGUC
This 257-nucleotide ribosomal RNA is filed under the name uncultured bacterium. RNAcentral's name for it is "partial 16S ribosomal RNA". It matches the Rfam family "Bacterial small subunit ribosomal RNA", at positions 57 to 305 of the family's 1533-position model. The record is from RNAcentral.